RNAcentral lists this ribosomal RNA (253 nucleotides) under uncultured bacterium. Its description in RNAcentral is "partial 16S ribosomal RNA". It matches the Rfam family "Bacterial small subunit ribosomal RNA", at positions 524 to 776 of the family's 1533-position model. The record is from RNAcentral.
GACAGAGGAUGCAAGCGUUAUCCGGAAUGAUUGGGCGUAAAGAGCGUGUAGGCGGCUUUACAGGUCCGUUGUGAAAACUCGAGGCUCAACCUCGAGACGCCGGUGGAAACCGUAAGGCUAGAGUCCGGAAGAGGAGAGUGGAAUUCCUGGUGUAGCGGUGAAAUGCGCAGAUAUCAGGAAGAACACCCGUGGCUAAGGCGGUUCUCUAGUACGGUACUGACGCUGAGACGCGAAAGCGUGGGGAGCGAACAGG